CCUACGGGAGGCAGCAGUAGGGAAUCUUCCACAAUGGGCGAAAGCCUGAUGGAGCAACGCCGCGUGAGUGAUGAAGGCCUUCGGGUUGUAAAACUCUGUCAUUCGGGACGAACCGGAGUCUGAGGAAAUGCAGACUCUCUGACGGUACCGGAGGAGGAAGCCCCGGCUAACUACGUGCCAGCAGCCGCGGUAAUACGUAGGGGGCAAGCGUUGUCCGGAUUCACUGGGCGUAAAGCGCGCGCAGGCGGUGAUGUAAGUCUGAGGUGAAAACCCGAAGCUCAACUUCGGGACUGCCUUGGAUACUGCGUCACUUGAGGAUAGGAGAGGCAAGGGGAAUUCCACGUGUAGCGGUGAAAUGCGUAGAGAUGUGGAGGAACACCUGUGGCGAAGGCGCCUUGCUGGCCUAUUUCUGACGCUGAGGCGCGAAAGCGUGGGGAGCAAACAGGAUUAGAUACCCUGGUAGUCCACGCUGUAAACGAUGAGUGCUAGGUGUAGGUGGGCUCAUACCCAUCUGUGCCGAAAGCUAAACGCAUUAAGCACUCCGCCUUGGGGAGUUACGGUUCGCAAGACUUGAAACUUCAAAAUUGAAUUGACGG
This 596-nucleotide ribosomal RNA is filed under the name uncultured bacterium. Its description in RNAcentral is "bacterial SSU rRNA". It matches the Rfam family "Bacterial small subunit ribosomal RNA", at positions 338 to 916 of the family's 1533-position model. The record is from RNAcentral.